RNAcentral lists this long non-coding RNA (199 nucleotides) under Citrus maxima (pomelo). RNAcentral describes it as "long non-coding RNA (CMAX_LNC002294)". The record is from RNAcentral. Lineage: Eukaryota; Viridiplantae; Streptophyta; Magnoliopsida; Sapindales; Rutaceae.
CUAUUUAUAAUGUAAUAUUUUUUUUGGUAAAGGAAAAAUGAGCCUAGCAAAAGCUAAAGCUUAACAAAACGAGGGAACGCACCCCCCGAACUAUCACUGCACAAGUAAACAUCAACACCGGGGGGGAGGGAUCGGUAAAACAUGGAGUCCAAGAGGGAGUGAGAGCACGAAAGUAGCAAGGAACUCUGCUGCGAAAUUG